GAGCCUUGGUAUGGAAACCUACCAAGUGAGAACUUUCAAAUUCAGAGAAACCCUGGAAUUAAAAAUGGGCAAUCCUGAGCCAAAUCCUGUUUUACGAAAAUAAACAAAAGUUCGGAAAGAAAGAAUAAUAAUAAAAAAACAAAAAAGGAUAGGUGCAGAGACUCAAUGGAAGCUGUUCUAACAAAUGGGGUUUGACUACCUUUGCGUUAGUAAAGGAAUCCUUCUAUCGAAACUACAGAAAGGAUGGCCUAUACACAUACCUAAAGGUAAUAAAAAACUAUCUCUAAAAAAAAAAAAAGACGACCCAACCCCGUAUUUAUUUAGAUUUUUAUGAAAAAUCUAAAUAAAUUUUUGUGGAUUAGUAUUGAUUCUAAGUUGAAGAAGGAAUCGAAUACAACAUUCAUUAAUAAAAGAAUUCACCCCAUAGUUUGAUAAAUCUUUUGAAAAACUGGUUAAUCGGACGAGAAUAAAGAUAGAGUCCCGUUCUACAUGUCAAUAUCAAUACUGACAACAAUGAAAUUUAUAGUAAGAGGAAAAUCCGUCGACUUUUAAAAUCGUGAGGGUUCAAGUCCCUUGUCCCUCUAUCCCCA
RNAcentral lists this non-coding RNA (590 nucleotides) under Struthiola ciliata. RNAcentral describes it as "partial transfer RNA-Leu(UAA)". The stretch from base 1 to 502 matches the Rfam family "Group I catalytic intron". Rfam says of the family: Group I catalytic introns are large self-splicing ribozymes. They catalyse their own excision from mRNA, tRNA and rRNA precursors in a wide range of organisms. The record is from RNAcentral. Lineage: Eukaryota; Viridiplantae; Streptophyta; Magnoliopsida; Malvales; Thymelaeaceae.